AGGGUGGCGAGGCAGAGGUUAGAUAGAAGGGUGACGAGGCAGAGGUUAGAUAGAAGGGUGAAGAGGCAGAGGUUAGAUAGAAGGGUGGCGAGGCAGAGGUUAGAUAGAAGGGUGAAGAGGCAGAGGUUAGAUAGAAGGGUGACGAGGCAGAGGUUAGAUAGAAGGGUGAAGAGGCAGAGGUUAGAUAGAAGGGUGAAGAGGCAGGGGUUAGAUAGAAGGGUGGCGAGGCAGAGGUUAGAUAGAAGGGUGACGAGGCAGAGGUUAGAUAGAAGGGUGAAAGGGCAGAGGUUAGAUAGAAGGGUGAAGAGAGCAUAGUGAGAGACAGA
Oncorhynchus tshawytscha (Chinook salmon) is the source of this 326-nucleotide long non-coding RNA. NCBI's taxonomy places the organism in Eukaryota, Metazoa, Chordata, Actinopteri, Salmoniformes, Salmonidae. The record is from Ensembl.